CCACCCCCAGUGUCUACCGUACCUCUCCAACCAUCAACCUUCAAUAGUGUCAGCCGGACUUCAACAAUGCCAACCAGACUUCCACAGGAUCCUCCAGACUCCUCCAGCGAACGAACCUCCACAACAGCAUCCGAAGUCUACUGUCGGUCGACUCUCUGUCAGAUUUCUCAUGAAACCAGACUUCUCCAACAGAAAAUCACCGUCCGAGCUUCUACAGUAGAUGACUCCCACCUGCAGCA
RNAcentral lists this long non-coding RNA (239 nucleotides) under Elaeis guineensis (African oil palm). RNAcentral describes it as "long non-coding RNA (EGUI_LNC049798)". Lineage: Eukaryota; Viridiplantae; Streptophyta; Magnoliopsida; Arecales; Arecaceae. The record is from RNAcentral.